RNAcentral lists this ribosomal RNA (479 nucleotides) under uncultured bacterium. RNAcentral's name for it is "partial 16S ribosomal RNA". It matches the Rfam family "Bacterial small subunit ribosomal RNA", at positions 28 to 523 of the family's 1533-position model. The record is from RNAcentral.
GACGAACGCUGGCGGCGUGCUUAACACAUGCAAGUCGAACGGUAAGGCCCUUCGGGGUACACGAGUGGCGAACGGGUGAGUAACACGUGGGUGAUCUGCCCUGCACUUCGGGAUAAGCCUGGGAAACUGGGUCUAAUACCGGAUAGGACCACUGCCUGCAUGGGCGGUGGUGGCAAGCUUGUGCGGUGUGGAAUGGGCCCGCGGCCUAUCAGCUUGUGGGUGGGGUGAUGGCCUACCAAGGCGACGACGGGUAGCCGGACCUGAGAGGGUGACCGGCCACACUGGGACUGAGAUACGGCCCAGACUCCUACGGGAGGCAGCAGUGGGGAAUAUUGCACAAUGGGCGCAAGCCUGAUGCAGCGACGCCGCGUGAGGGAUGACGGCCUUCGGGUUGUAAACCUCUUUCAGCACCGACGAAGCGCAAGUGACGGUAGGUGCAGAAGAAGGACCGGCCAACUACGUGCCAGCCGCCGCGGUAA